RNAcentral lists this small nucleolar RNA (137 nucleotides) under Ornithorhynchus anatinus (platypus). The record is from RNAcentral. Lineage: Eukaryota; Metazoa; Chordata; Mammalia; Monotremata; Ornithorhynchidae.
CCCCUCUCAGGAUGGCACCCGGAAAGUUUCCAGUACUCUAUCAGUCUCGCUAUGGGAGGGAGAGUCAAGCAGAGGCCUACACAUUCCAUUCCUAGCUUGGGUAGUGGCUAGCGAGUGGAAGGCAAUCUGCUACAUGG